RNAcentral lists this long non-coding RNA (449 nucleotides) under Capsicum annuum. Its description in RNAcentral is "long non-coding RNA (CANN_LNC020526)". The record is from RNAcentral. Lineage: Eukaryota; Viridiplantae; Streptophyta; Magnoliopsida; Solanales; Solanaceae.
UUGAACAAGAAAGAAGUUAUGAGAUAGUUGCAAUUUUGUAGACUCACUCUCCCACAUUUUAAAUGUUAGUAAUUGAUAAAAGAAAUGGACUUUCGGCUUAACUCAACCUCAAAAGAUAGCUCAUGAGGGGAGGAUUGUCCAAGAUCAUAUAAGGAGACUAAGGACCUUUUAACCCACUGAUGUGAGACUCCAACACCCCCCACACCCCAGGGCCGGACAUCUGAAGCGUGGGCAAUAUAAGAUGGGGGACCCAACAUCGGAAACAAUGAACUGGGUGGGCUAGGUCCAUCCCCGUUUUGGGCUCCCGAUCCACGCGCCAGUGUCAAUUGAGCUUGGGCGUGAAGGGGUGUUAGAGUGGGUAAAAAGUCCACAUUGAUUGGGGAAUGGACUAGUAGUUUGCUUAUAUGAAUUUGGGCAAUCCUCACCUCUUGAACUAGCUUUUGAGGUUG